RNAcentral lists this unclassified non-coding RNA (330 nucleotides) under soil metagenome. RNAcentral's name for it is "partial contains 5.8S ribosomal RNA, internal transcribed spacer 2, and large subunit ribosomal RNA". The stretch from base 1 to 120 matches the Rfam family "5.8S ribosomal RNA", at positions 35 to 154 of the family's 154-position model. The record is from RNAcentral.
GAUGAAGAACGUAGCGAAAUGCGAUAAGUAAUGUGAAUUGCGGAAUUCAGUGAAUCAUCGAAUCUUUGAACGCACAUUGCGCCCUCUGGUAUUCCGGGGGGCAUGCCUGUUCGAGCGUCAUUACAACCCUCAAGCUUUGCUUGGUAUUGGACAUUGCCAGUUUCUGGCAGGUCUUAAAAUCAGUGGCGGUGCCAUUUGGCUUCAAGCGUAGUAAUUCUUCUCGCUUUGGAGAUCCAGGUGGUUACUUGCCAAUAACCCCCAAUUUUUUCAGGUUGACCUCGGAUCAGGUAGGGAUACCCGCUGAACUUAAGCAUAUCAAUAAGCGGAGGA